CGCACCUUGCGCUCCUUGGUAUUCCAUGGAGCAUGCCUGUUUGAGUGUCACGUGAAAUCAUCAUCCUAGGUGAAACCUCGGUUUUGCCAAGUGAUGGACUUGGACUGUGCCGUUGUUGGCUCGUCCUGAAAUGCAUUAGCCGCGAUUGUCGUCCGGUACACUCGGUGUGAUAGACAUCUACGCCGUGAGUGCUCAGGUCGAUGUGGCUCACAGUCUCCUCUUGUGAGGAAAAACAUCUUUACGCUCUGGCCUCAAAUCAGGUAGGACUACCCGCUGAACUUAA
Molecule: unclassified non-coding RNA, 283 nt
Filed under: Auriculariales sp.
Lineage: Eukaryota; Fungi; Basidiomycota; Agaricomycetes; Auriculariales
Description: partial contains 5.8S ribosomal RNA, internal transcribed spacer 2, and large subunit ribosomal RNA
Source: RNAcentral